Mandrillus leucophaeus (drill) is the source of this 516-nucleotide RNA transcript. It is a transcript of the gene named 40S ribosomal protein S15 pseudogene, with no coding region annotated. The transcript has a single exon. The record is from RefSeq and is a predicted model, not a curated record. NCBI's taxonomy places the organism in Eukaryota, Metazoa, Chordata, Mammalia, Primates, Cercopithecidae.
AUAAAUCAUUUUUCUGAGGAUCCGGCAAGAUGGCAGAGGUAGAGCAGAAGAAGAAGCGGACCUUCCGCAAGUUCACCUACCGCGGCGUGGACCUCGAGCAGCUGCUGGACACGUCCUACGAGCAGCUAACACAGCUGAACAGUGCGCGCCAGCGGCUGCGGCUGAAACCAGGACUGCGGCGGAAGCACCGUUCGCUGCUGAAACGCCUGCGCAAGGCCAAGAAGGAGGGACCGCCCAUGGAGAAGCCGGAAGUGGUGAAGACUCACCUGCGGGUCAUGAUCAUCCUGCCCGAGAUGGUGGGCAGCAUGGUGGGCGUCUACAACGGACCUUCAACCAGGUGGAGAUCAAGCCGGAGAUGAUCAGCCACUACCUGGGGGCGAGUUCUCCAUCACCUACAAGCCCGUGAAGCACAGCUGGCCCGGCUUCAGGGCCACCCACUCCUCCUGCUUCACCCCCUCAAGUAGUGGCUCAGCUAAUAAACGCACACGUCUCAAAAAUAAAUAAAAUAAAUAAAUA